GUGUUGAGAAUAAAAUCCCCAUAAUUUAGGAGAUUGUAUAUAGCAUAAUUGUUGUAAUCCCAUCAUAUAUGGGUCAACCUUAAUUCUAGCAUAGCAGUAACUUAUUUCCUAGAAUAUCACUUUGCUGUAACCAUAUAUACAUAUGUAUCUGUACGUUGAAUAUGAUUAUCAAUUCAUUCUCCAAUUUUAUUAUGGUAUCAGAGCACCUUCGUGGUGGCUCUUCAAUUUCCGCUGCAACCUUUGUUUUCUUUCACUCUGAUUGAAACAUCUAGGUUUCUUCUCUAUCUUCUUUCAUCAUGGGCAAUAGCGAUGAGUCUUCUCAAAGCUCUGUCGUCGAGACCUCUAAUUCUUUUUUUAUACACUCUUCAGAUCACCCAGGGCUCUUGCUUGUUAACAAGCGCCUUAAUGGUGAUAACUAUCCCACAUGGAAAAGAUCCAUGAUCAUCGCUCUUACAGCCAAGAACAAGAUUGGCUUUGUCGACGGCUCCAUCGAAACACCUUCGCGAGCAAAGAAACCGGCU
This 521-nucleotide long non-coding RNA is filed under the name Prunus dulcis (almond). Its description in RNAcentral is "sRNA ncRNA". The record is from RNAcentral. Lineage: Eukaryota; Viridiplantae; Streptophyta; Magnoliopsida; Rosales; Rosaceae.